GAUGAAGAACGUAGCGAAAUGCGAUAAGUAAUGUGAAUUGCAGAAUUCAGUGAAUCAUCGAAUCUUUGAACGCACCUUGCGCCCUUUGGCCAUUCCGAAGGGCAUGCCUGUUUGAGUAUCAUGAACACCUCAACUCUUCAUGGUUUUCCAUGAUGAGCUUGGACUUUGGGGGUCUUGCUGGCCUGUGGGUCGGCUCCUCUCAAAUGAAUCAGCUUGCCGGUUUUUGGUGGGCAUCACAGGUGUGAUAACUAUCUACGCUUGUAGUUUUCCACCAGGGUAACCUUCAGCAGUGGAGGUUCACUGGAGCUUACAAAUGUCUCUCCUCUGUGAGGACAGCCCUUUGAAUGUUUGAUCUCAAAUCAGGUAGGACUACCCGCUGAACUUAAGCAUAUCAAUAAGCGGAGGA
This 406-nucleotide unclassified non-coding RNA is filed under the name soil metagenome. RNAcentral's name for it is "partial contains 5.8S ribosomal RNA, internal transcribed spacer 2, and large subunit ribosomal RNA". The stretch from base 1 to 121 matches the Rfam family "5.8S ribosomal RNA", at positions 35 to 154 of the family's 154-position model. The record is from RNAcentral.